UACGUGAAACCGUUCAGGGGUAAWCCUGAGAAACCCAAAAGAUCGAAUGGGGAGAUUCAUCGUCAGCGAGCAGCCGGUAUCCGUGCGGUGAGCGAUGCGCUCGGGGCUUCGGUCCCGGGUCACGCGACCGCUGCGCGAUAAUCCGGCCUCGUCGUCGUGCACUUCUCCCCUAGUAGAACGUCGCGACCCGUUGGGUGCUGGCCUACGGCUCGGACGGUCGACUGUCGCGUCGUCUCAGGACGCUAACGCGGCAGACCUCCGAACGCCCGGUCGGCUGCCCGGCGGUAGAAGACUGAUAAUUAUGGUAUCGGGCCGCAGUAAGUGCGUUCAGGCACGUCGGCUGGCGGGUUGAAGCUUUGCAUUCGGACCUGGCGCCGUAUGCCGAGCCCGGCUCGCCUUUCGCCGGCGUUGUCCUCGGACAGGCUCGCACAUUCGAACGAGAAUAUACCGGUCGGCGACGCUACUGCUUUGGGUACUUUCAGGACCCGUCUUGAAACACGGACCAAGGAGUCUAACAUGUGCGCGAGUCAUUGGGACUUUGAAGCCUAAAGGCGAAAUGAAAGUGAAGGUCGGCUUUUAUUGUCGACCGAGGGAGGAUGGUUCGCGUCACGAUGCGAACCCGCACUCCCGGGGCGUCUCUAACUCAUUGCGAGUUGAGGCGCACCCAGAGCGUACACGUUGGGACCCGAAAGAUGGUGAACUAUGCCUGGUCAGGACGAAGUCAGGGGAAACCCUGAUGGAGGUCCGUAGCGAUUCUGACGUGCAAAUCGAUCGUAGGAACUGGGUAUAGGGGCGAAAGAMUAAUCGAACCAUC
This 814-nucleotide ribosomal RNA is filed under the name Hymenoptera sp. NZAC03010134. RNAcentral describes it as "eukaryotic LSU rRNA". It matches the Rfam family "Eukaryotic large subunit ribosomal RNA", at positions 396 to 944 of the family's 3401-position model. The record is from RNAcentral. Lineage: Eukaryota; Metazoa; Arthropoda; Insecta; Hymenoptera.